UCCCUUCGGGGGGGGAGCCGUAGGGAAUUUUCCGCAAUGGAGGACAAUCUGACGGAGCACCGCCGGGUGAGUGAAGAAGGUCUUUGGAUUGUAAAGGUCUGUUGUUAGGGAAGAACAUGCGUCGUUCUAAUAGGGCGGCACCUUGACGGUACCUAACCAGAAAGCCACGGCUAACUUCGUGCCAGCAGCCGCGGUAAUACGUAGGUGGCAAGCGUUGUUCGGAAUUAUUGGGCGUAAAGGGCUCGCAGGCGGUUUCUUAAGUCCGAUGUGAAAGCCCCCGGCUCAACCGGGGAGGGUCAUUGGAAACUGGGGAACUUGAAUGCAGAAGAGGAGAGUGGAAUUCCACGUGUAGCGGUGAAAUGCGUAGAGAUCAGGAGGAACACCCGUGGCGAAGGCGACUCUCUGGUCCAUCACUGACGCUGAGGCGCGAAAGCGUGGGGAGCGAACAGGAUUAGAUACCCUGGUAGUCCACGCCGUAAACGAUGAGAACUAAAUGUAGGGGCAUCCGCCCCUCAGUGUGCAGCUAACGCAUUAAGCACUCCGCCUGGGAGACUGCUGUCA
Molecule: ribosomal RNA, 561 nt
Filed under: Bacillus tequilensis
Lineage: Bacteria; Bacillati; Bacillota; Bacilli; Caryophanales; Bacillaceae
Description: bacterial SSU rRNA
Rfam family: Bacterial small subunit ribosomal RNA
Source: RNAcentral